AACGAACGCUGGCGGCAGGCUUAACACAUGCAAGUCGAGCGAAGACUUCGGUCUUAGCGGCAGACGGGUGAGUAACGCGUGGGAACCUACCCAGUGGUACGGAACAACCCAGGGAAACUUGGGCUAAUACCGUAUACGCCCCCAGGGGGAAAGAUUUAUCGCCAUUGGACGGGCCCGCGUUGGAUUAGCUAGUUGGUGGGGUAAUGGCCUACCAAGGCAACGAUCCAUAGCUGGUCUGAGAGGAUGAUCAGCCACACUGGGACUGAGACACGGCCCAGACUCCUACGGGAGGCAGCAGUGGGGAAUCUUGGACAAUGGGCGCAAGCCUGAUCCAGCCAUGCCGCGUGAGUGAAGAAGGCCCUAGGGUUGUAAAGCUCUUUCGGCGGGGACGAUAAUGACGGUACCCGCAGAAGAAGCCCCGGCUAACUCCGUGCCAGCAGCCGCCGCAGUAAAAC
RNAcentral lists this ribosomal RNA (455 nucleotides) under uncultured bacterium. RNAcentral describes it as "bacterial SSU rRNA". It matches the Rfam family "Bacterial small subunit ribosomal RNA", at positions 29 to 526 of the family's 1533-position model. The record is from RNAcentral.